UACGUAGGUCCCGAGCGUUGUCCGGAUUUAUUGGGCGUAAAGCGAGCGCAGGUGGUUUAUUAAGUCUGGUGUAAAAGGCAGUGACUCAACCAUUGUAUGCAUUGGAAACUGGUAGACUUGAGUGCAGGAGAGGAGAGUGGAAUUCCAUGUGUAGCGGUGAAAUGCGUAGAUAUAUGGAGGAACACCGGUGGCGAAGGCGGCUCUCUGGCCUGUAACUGACACUGAGGCUCGAAAGCGUGGGGAGCAAACAGG
Molecule: ribosomal RNA, 252 nt
Filed under: uncultured bacterium
Lineage: Bacteria
Description: partial 16S ribosomal RNA
Rfam family: Bacterial small subunit ribosomal RNA
Source: RNAcentral